RNAcentral lists this ribosomal RNA (229 nucleotides) under uncultured bacterium. RNAcentral describes it as "partial 16S ribosomal RNA". It matches the Rfam family "Bacterial small subunit ribosomal RNA", at positions 568 to 796 of the family's 1533-position model. The record is from RNAcentral.
CAUGUAGGCGGGAAUACAAGUCAGAUGUGAAAUACUGCGGCUUAACUGCAGUCCUGCAUCUGAAACUGUAUUUCUUGAGUACUGGAGAGGAAAGCGGAAUUCCUAGUGUAGCGGUGAAAUGCGUAGAUAUUAGGAGGAACACCGGUGGCGAAGGCGGCUUUCUGGACAGUUACUGACGCUGAGAUGCGAAAGCGUGGGGAGCAAACAGGAUUAGAUACCCUGGUAGUCC